UGAGGAAUAUUGCACAAUGGGGGAAACCCUGAUGCAGCAACGCCGCGUGCGGGACGAAGGCCUUCGGGUCGUAAACCGCUUUUCUGGGGAAAGAGCAAGGACGGUACCUCAGGAAUAAGUCUCGGCUAACUACGUGCCAGCAGCCGCGGUAAAACGUAGGAGGCGAGCGUUAUCCGGAUUUACUGGGCGUAAAGCGCACGCAGGCGGCUCCGUGAGUCGGACGUGAAAGCUCUCGGCUUAACCGGGAGAGGCCGUUCGAUACUGCGGGGCUUGAGGUAGGGAGAGGAAUGCGGAAUUCCCGGUGUAGUGGUGGAAUGCGUAGAUAUCGGGAGGAACACCUGUGGCGAAAGCGGCAUUCUGGCCCUCACCUGACGCUGAGGUGCGAAAGCGUGGGUAGCAAACAG
This 404-nucleotide ribosomal RNA is filed under the name uncultured bacterium. RNAcentral's name for it is "bacterial SSU rRNA". It matches the Rfam family "Bacterial small subunit ribosomal RNA", at positions 355 to 775 of the family's 1533-position model. The record is from RNAcentral.